AUGAGCACGCAACCUCUACACCCCUGCACACUGCAGCGUACAGGCUACGCUCCAACGGACCGCACCAAGCUCGAGGCCGCCGCCGCCAUGCCCCUCCGGCGCCUCCUAGGCCUCUCCGGCCGCCUCCGCCGCCCCCUCUCCACCGUCGCCUCCUCGCACCCACCGUGCCACCACACCCUCUCCACCGCCGCCUCCUCGCACCCACCGUGCCCCGCCCUCUCCACCGACGCCUCCUCCUCGAACCCGCCGCGGCGCCGCACCCUCUCCACCGCCGCCUCCACGCUCCCACCAUGGGUCAUCAUCGACGGCAGGUCGCCCGUCGACGAAUCGUCGUCGGCGCCGGGCGCGCUCUUCCGCCCCGUCGACCCUCCGCGCGUCUCCAGCAUCUCCGUCCCGGCGCACCUCAUCAACGCCAGGGAGCGCCCCGCCGCCGACAGCAGCGUCGUCCAAGUCCUCGGCGGCAGCGUCGACGCCGCCAGCGCCGACGGCCACCUCCUCCUCACCCACUACGACAUCCUCGGGCCCGACAUGGAGGCCGAGCGCUGCAUCUGCAACCCCAUCACCGGCCAACUGCUCCGCCUCCCGUACCCCGACGGGUCCAGGAAGAGGCUGGAGUACCACCACAUGGGCCUCCUCACCAAAGCAGGUGGCGGCGGCGUCGGCGGGGACGCGCCUCACCGGUUCGCCGUCGCCGAAAUCGUGCACCAGCGUGACCGCGUCAUCGACCGGUUUCUCCCGGAGAUUGGCAGGUGGGAGUUGGUGCUUGGCCUGCCGUGCAAACCGCCGCUCAAGUGGGUAAUGGAGAUGAACCAGGAAACGGUGGCCUUCGGCGACCGCCUCUGGUGGGUCGACCUCACCCGCGGCGCCAUCUCCGUCGACCCCUUCAGCUACCGGCCGGAGUUCCGCUUCGUCGAGCUGCCGGAGGGCAGCAGCCUCACGGACUUCCUCGCACAGUUCAAAGAAGCCCCCACCGCGACGUUCAUGAAGGAGAUGGGCAAGUACCGGCGCAUCGGCGUCAGCGAGGGAAGGCUGCGCUACAUUGAGGCUUCUCUUCACGACCCGUUCCUGCUCAGCUCGUUUGUGCUCGACGACGAGGGCAGGAGCUGGACGCUGGAGCGCCAGGUGGAGCUCAGGCAGGUGUUGGAGGAUGGAGGCCACCCGUGCGAAGAGGGGAAGAGGCCGCCGCAGAUCGCCGUCAUCGACCCGCUCAACGCCGAUACCAUCUACAUCACCGUCGGCGAGCAGAAGCACAUCGUCGCCGUGGACAUUUACCAAGGCAAGGUGAUCGGGAGCUCUCCGCUUCAAGACGGAUACCGUUCGCUUGUACCAUGUGUGCUUCCACCCGCGCUUGGAUCAAGCCAGAUCCCUACCUACGGCAGGAACCCUCUCCAUGACUUCAAAAUGGUCACUGGGCCAUCAUCAACGCCAUUUUAG
Molecule: ribosomal RNA, 1434 nt
Filed under: Triticum aestivum (bread wheat)
Lineage: Eukaryota; Viridiplantae; Streptophyta; Magnoliopsida; Poales; Poaceae
Description: partial small subunit ribosomal RNA
Source: RNAcentral